GUGCCAGCAGCCGCGGUAAUACGUAGGUGGCAAGCGUUAUCCGGAAUUAUUGGGCGUAAGGCGCGCGUAGGCGGUUUUUUAAGUCUGAUGUGAAAGCCCACGGCUCAACCGUGGAGGGUCAUUGGAAACUGGAAAACUUGAGUGCAGAAGAGGAAAGUGGAAUUCCAUGUGUAGCGGUGAAAUGCGCAGAGAUAUGGAGGAACACCAGUGGCGAAGGCGACUUUCUGGUCUGUAACUGACGCUGAUGUGCGAAAGCGUGGGGAUCAAACAGGAUUAGAU
RNAcentral lists this ribosomal RNA (279 nucleotides) under uncultured Staphylococcus sp. RNAcentral describes it as "partial 16S ribosomal RNA". It matches the Rfam family "Bacterial small subunit ribosomal RNA", at positions 505 to 783 of the family's 1533-position model. The record is from RNAcentral. Lineage: Bacteria; Bacillati; Bacillota; Bacilli; Caryophanales; Staphylococcaceae.